UCACUUUCAUGAGAACAAACAAAUGGUCAGAAAGCAUAGCAGCAAUAUUUCAUGCAAAUUCAUCUGUUUCACAACAGAAAUCCCUUUAAAUAGAGCUUAAGAAGGCCACAAUCAAUUGCUUCAAAAGACUUUAGCAGAAUAACUAUCAUCAUCAAGAUGCAUGAGGUCAGCAGUUUACAACAAUAUUUGCAUGCAAUUGGAGGACCUGGUUGUCAGGCCUCUGAGCCCAAGCCUGCACGUAUACAUCCAGAUGGCCUGAAACAAGUGAAGAAUCACAAAAGAAGAGAAAAUGGCCGGUUCCUGUCUUAACUGCUGACAUUCCACCAUUGUGAUUUGUUCCUGCCCCACCUUAACUGAGCACUUAACCUUGUGAAAUUCCUUCUCCUGGCUCAGAAUCUCCCCCACUGAGUACCUAGUGAACCCCACCCCUGCACAUAAGAGAAAAACCCCCUUUGACUGUAAUUUUCCACUACCCACCCAAAUCCCAUAAAGCAGCCCAAACCCUGUCUCCCUUUGCUGACUCCUUUUUCAGACUCAACCCACCUGCACCCAGGUGAAAUAAACAGCCUUGUUGCUCUCCCAAA
Molecule: non-coding RNA, 584 nt
Organism: Macaca mulatta (Rhesus monkey)
Lineage: Eukaryota; Metazoa; Chordata; Mammalia; Primates; Cercopithecidae
Source: RefSeq, a predicted model, not a curated record